RNAcentral lists this long non-coding RNA (1362 nucleotides) under Coturnix japonica (Japanese quail). RNAcentral's name for it is "lncRNA (ENSCJPG00005010768.1)". The record is from RNAcentral. Lineage: Eukaryota; Metazoa; Chordata; Aves; Galliformes; Phasianidae.
AUGGCCAAUCUGAGGACCAACCCUGUGAAGCAGCUGUCUCAUAGAGUCACGUUAUCACUGGAAAAACCAAGGGGACAUAUAUCUUCGAGAUCCUUUCCUCCUUCCUAUCACAUCAGGACGGGAUCCCUCACUCAGGUACCAGGUGCUGGGUUUUCUGUCAGCGCGGACCAGACUGCUCGCCGUCAGCGAAGGGCGUUCAUCAACGAGGAACCUCAGCCUCGGUUAGCCCGCACUGGGGGCCACCUGCCCGCUCCCCACGGCCUGCUUCCCUCCCAAAAGCGGCUGGCAGGAGCGGCCGCCCCCGCCGUAAGGCUCGUAGGGAGCCGCGGCGCACGGAGGAUGCUGUCGCCCUUCCUCCGGCGGCGCGCACAGGGCGGCACAGAGCGCCCGAGGGCUCCGCGUCUGCAGUCGGGCCACGUCCGCGGGGGGCUCAGAGCACGCGGUGGGCGGCGGGGGACGGGUCCGGCGGCGGGGCCUCACUGCGGCAGCGCCGGCUUCCCCUCGGCUGCCGCUUUCAUUCAUGUUUUCUCCUUCGCCAUCUCCCUCUCUCUCCGAGCGAGUGGAAACAAGAAUGCGCGUGGGCGGCCGCCGAGCGGCGCGCUGUCAGUCAGCCGCCGCGCUGCAAAGAAGGAGAGCGAGGGAGAAGGAGGGGAGCAGCUUUCCCCGGGUAGGGGAAGCUCUGUCGGCGCUGCCUCUGCCCGCCGGCAUCGCGGCUCUUCCCGGGGGCGUCCGCGGAGCCGCCCGGCUCGGAAGGAGGGGGGGGGGGGACACGAGGGGCGGCCCCUCUCCCGCUAUCGGCACCUGCUCCCCCCGCCCCUGUCUGGCGGAGGGGUCUGCGCCGCCGGCGGCGCGCGCGUGUGUACGUGUGUCUGUGUGUCUGUGGCUGCCGGGGGCGCCGCUGGGAGGAGAGGAGGCGCGAGGCAAGUUGUAACGGCUUCGGCGCCCAUAGAGGCUCCGGGCGGGCGCGGAUGCGGUGCGGGUGCGGUGCGGUGCGCUGAGAGCUCCGCGAGGCGGGGUGGACCAGCGACCCCGCCCCGCUGCAGCGAGAGGCUCCGUCUUUGUGCAUCCUCCGCACCUGAGGUGCGAGGCCGGGAGGGGCGGCGGAGCCGGGGAGGGGAGGUAAGACCGCGCCGCGCUUCUCCUUCGGCCGCUUCCCAUCUCGUCCGGCUGCGCGGGCGGAGGUGCGGCAGCCCGGCCCCACGGGGAAGGAUGGGACGCGGAGGUGUGGAGCUUCGCCGCAGCCGGAGGGCGAGCGGCGGCCCCACUGAUGGGCGGGGGGCUGCGGGCGGGGGAGGGGCCCGCCGAGCGCCUUCAUCUGGGCUCCCCCGGGAAGGAGCGGGCGGUUCGGAGAGGCUGCUCUAG